UCCUGGUUUCCCAGGCAGUCCUGCCAGAGUGCUUCCGAAGAAUAGCAACUGACAGCAAGGGUUGCGCUCGUUAGAGGACUUAACCUAACACCUCACGGCACGAGCUGACGACAGCCAUGCAGCACCUGUGCAUCUGUCUAGAUCAAAGACCUAGAAAACUAUGUUUCUAUAGCGGUCAAAAGCAUGUCAAGCCUAGGUAAGGUUCCUCGCGUAGUGUCGAAUUAAACCACAUGUUCCACCGCUUGUGCGGACCCCCGUCAAUUCUUUUGAGUUUUAGUCUUGCGACCGUAGUCCCCAGGCGGAUCACUUAACGCGUUAGCUGCGACACUGAUUCUGCUAAGCAAAACCAACGUCUAGUGAUCAUCGUUUACGGCGUGGACUAC
Molecule: unclassified non-coding RNA, 383 nt
Filed under: uncultured bacterium
Lineage: Bacteria
Description: contains 16S-23S intergenic spacer region
Source: RNAcentral